Molecule: long non-coding RNA, 3769 nt
Organism: Pyrgilauda ruficollis (rufous-necked snowfinch)
Lineage: Eukaryota; Metazoa; Chordata; Aves; Passeriformes; Passeridae
Exons: 2
Source: RefSeq, a predicted model, not a curated record
UUCCUUUCCCUCUACUUCAUCAUCUGUGGAACAUGAUCAUGUAGCUGCUGAUGCUGCAGUUACGGUUCCAAGUAACAACUCAUCUGAGAAGCCACCUCUCUGUACUAAAGAUCAAGAGAAGGAAGGAGAGCCAACCAAAAUCUCUGAGUACUUUUUCAGUGACAUCUUUAUGGAAGUGGAUGAUUCAGAAUAGCAAAUGGGUUUUAUAAGAACUAGGAUCACAGAAUAUACUGCAACAAGAAAAGAGUAUUUUAAAAGUUGCAAUUUGUUCUGAUAUUCAUUAUGCCACACUUAAUGUCAACCAGUAAUAACAGUACAGAUAAAAUACCAGGAAAGUGAUCUCUUUAACAUUCAGGGGAAACUGAACGUUCUCCAAAAGUGACGUAACAGAUUCAAAGGAGAAGAUGGAAAGGAAAAGCUGGAAAGCCUCAUCUCCUGCUCCUCCUUUAACAAACUGGGUGCAAUUACUAAUAAAGCCCUGAAACAUGCUAUUGGAACUGGGACGCAGGGUUGGACAAAGAAACCAUGAACCAAACAUACCUUUAACAAGCUCCAGUACCUAUGUAAACUCCCUAUAAACCAUUGUCACCGAGCCCAGCACAAUAACAACCCAAAUCCGUGCCCCUCUACUGUAAAAGCUACAUGUUAGGGACAAUACUGGAUCUGUCUCCAGAUAAGAAAAUAAGCCUAGGGACCAGAAGGGUAUUAAAACCUCAAAACAACCUAGGGACCAGAGACAGGUAAAGGCCUCCACCCAGAGAGACAUUGUGAAUUCAAGCAACAUGGCUACUGGCUGUUUUAUCUCAAUACAGAGUAAGUAGAACCAAAACGCAACCAGGACAGGCUUUUUUCACUUUCUUGAGCCACAUGUUGGGCAACAAAAAAAAAAAAAAGUAUUUGCCCUGGUUUAGGGCACAUUUGGAAGGAAGCUUUCAAAGGGGUCCCUCUAGAAAGCAAAUUCAAGUGGCCCUCCCCCAACUGGUUUGUAAAGAUUUCCUUGGAGAAAAGUGGAAAAAACCUGUUUAUUUAAUGAAGUAUUCACAAGCAUAAAAAGUGAACAAUACUAAACAAUAAAAUCUCUUGCUGUUCUGAAGAGAUGGCACAUUCAGAAAGUCCUUUUCUUGGGGUGUAGCUCAGCUCACUUGGUCUGUUACCAGUUCCUCCUGUGCUGGAAAAUGCUGCGUCCUGGGCUCCAGUGGGCCACAGGUGUGAGGUGCUUGUAUUUUUCUGGGUUUGCAGUCCAGAACAAGGCUGAUCAGUUCCUGAAGAAAGAAAGGCCAGUCCAGGGAACUUCUCUGCUUCAGCUGGCUAAAAACUAACUAAAAGCAAAGGAGAGCUCUCUCCUGCCCUCUGUCCGUUCUUCAGAGAACACAGUCUGUGAGAGAGAACGCAAAGGAGCAAGUGCAGCUUCUGAUAACAAACUCUGCGCUUCUUCUCUCCCCCUGGUGCAGUACUUAAUGUCCAGCAUAAACAGAGUAGACAGCUGGGGAUACGAGCAUCAUAGUCACCCUAGGACAUGUUGUUAAUUAAUGCUGUGAAGAUGAAAUGGAUUCUUUCUGAAGCCACCCAGGAACUUUCAAAAUGCUGGCAUAGUCUAAACCACUACAAUGAUGUCAUAGGACCAGACUAUUUGCUGACUGCCGGCUUAUGGUUUCCCUUGUUUAGACACUGAUAGUGAGUGUAUGACUAUCCUACAGAAAAGUGCAAUGAAAUAAUGUUUAAUCUUGGAAAAUAUCCUUUUCCAUUUUAAUGCUAAAGCUUCUUGGUACUGACUAUUCAAGUUCUUUACUUCUUUUUGUGAAGUAUGUUACGUUAGAAGGAGGAAUUAACUUUUUGGGUAUAAUGUAAUUUCUGAAGAUCAGAAUACAAGUAUUGGAAGUGGUGUAGUGAAUACAUACCUGUAUACAUCAAGCACUGCAAGUGUUUUUAUUUAAAUUUCCAAAUUACAUAUUUUUGUAAGAGUUUUUUAACCACAUAAUUUAAAAGAUCGUAAUCUGAAAAGCCCAUAGGAUUGGUUCCUUAAAAAUUUGUUGAAAAUUUAAAAACACAGUUUACUAGAAGAUGAUAGGUAACACAAGGUUAAUGUUUGCAACUUUUUUUAUCACUUGGAGGAGGAGAUUGCUGUUUCCUAGUAUAAAUGCUAAUUUUCUUCUAAAUUGGAAAACAAAGCUAGAGAUACAAUUUAUUUUCCUUAUUUUCACAUGUAGUUGUUUGUAUAUUUACUGACUUCCUCAUUUUCCCUUGUGCACAGUAGCACAAAGAGAUUGGAUUUAAACCAUGAUUAUAAAAUGUCACUUUUGAGGGUUUGCUGCUUUGAAGCACUUGAAUUAAAAGGGUUUUCUUACGUGCAUGUCUGCUUGUACUGUAACUUGCCAUAAAAUUCUGGUUUAUCUUUAGAUUUUAGUUUAAGUUUUUAUUUACCUCAUCAAGAAAUAUAUCUGGGUGAGGUAAUUAGGUUUAUGCACUCUCAAAUUCAGGUGGUCGCUGAAAGAGUCAAUACUUAGUCUGAAACUCCUGCUUGCAGGAGCUUGAGUAGUCUUAAAAUUUUUCCCAUUACUUACAGGUACUUUGCAAAGCAAUUUAUUAUGAAGCUGAAACUGAUGUUUAAAUAGUAUUGUUAAUGCUCUCAAGAGACCUAUCAUCAGGUUUGGACUGGGUAAUCUUUUACUGGCAGGAAAAUUAUAUAAAUAUGUAGUUAAUUUUGAAAUAGUUGAUGAAGUUUGACAAACAUUUUGAUGGCAGGUAAAGAAUAUAAAUAUGUGGUUAAUUUUGAAAUAGUUGAUGAAGUUUGACAAAACAUUUGAGAAUGUUUUCAUUUUCAGAAGUUACCGGCAAGGCUUCUGAAGGAACCUUUAAACUUUUGUCAGAGAAGAGACAUACAGAAAAAAAGCUACUGUUACUGCAAAUUGGUAUAUUAGCUCUGCCAGUGAAAUGUCACUAGCAGCAGUAUUCCGUGAGGCGAUGGAAAAGGGACUAGUGGUCCCAGUGUAGAGUAACUUACUUGAAAGCAUCUGAUCAAUCCACCUCACUCCCCCAAAAAACCCUCAAAAAUACCAACAACAGUUUCUGUUCGAAUGGUAUCUUGUGCUUUGCCUAAUCCAUUUAACUUGAAAUGUUUAUCUAAAUAUUGUUUUACUGUAAACAUUAUGAAAGAGAUUAAUGUAUACAUGUAACUCUAUGUAUUGUAUAUCUUGUAGAUAUUAAGUAUGCAAGUGUUUACUUCCUGAUAUGUCUGGCAUGUUUAUAUCAAUUGCACUCAUAGAGCCUAAAAAUAGAUUCUUGGGGAGUGGCUAUGAAAUAAUUGCUGUGAGUACCUUCUGAGUGGGUUCUGAGGGGAUAAUCAUUCUACAUUUAGUUGCAUACAUUUUAGCUUGCAUUCAUGUUACAAAGGGGGAAAAAAUCAACUACUUCAUUACUAAUAUUUAUGGUGCCUUAUCUGCAUUGUUAAUUGGGGCUAUGCUUUGUUUUUCCUUGCAGCAAAUACCAUGCACUUUGUUAGAGGAAUUUUUUUUAAGAACAAAUUUAAUUUGAAUAGAAAUAAGAGAAUUUUGUGUUUUGUUUUGUGUGUGGAAGUUUUAUAAUGAUGAAGGAUGUAAGAAAAUAUCGUUGAAAUCUCAAUACAUAUGAGUAGCAUUUUUACAAAGAUGUGGCAUAAAACUGCUUUGCUUAGAGUUGUCUGAUGCCCUGUAUCAUCACAUAUAAGAUUUCUGUGUCAAAGGAAGUAGUCCUAUUCUGUAUGUAAAUUAUGUGAAUAAAUUAUUUUCUUUUA